UUUUAAGUCACCACGGAAGUGACUCAGUUUGUGAUACUACCUACCUUCUUACAACAACCACUUACUCUACCAAACGUUACCUUUAGUUCAACCUGUCUGUUAGGGUUCCCUAGAUGGCUAUAGGUAGAUUUUCGGCUUCUUGUGCCAUUCUUGUCUCGCGAGGCCAACUCCCACCCUCUAUUAUGGAGGUAAUUUGCCUCUUGGGCCAAAUCAUAGUUCCUCUCAUCUCCUCCCUCUUGGCAAAGCAAUUAAGGCCUCACCUAUCACGGCCAACUUUUUCAAUCUCGUUAAACCUACCCAAUCUUGUGAAACGCCACAAAAAGGGCAACACCCCACUACAACACUUGGUGACAAACCUAGGCCAAAUCAUAGGUAGAGUCUCUAAUCGCCACUUGGCAACUAGUUGGGUACCCAAGUCACCUGUUUAGCUUAAUUGUUUUGCCACUUGGCAUAACAUAGGUCAGCCAAUACCUGCAUGGUAUACAGUUGCUUCUACUAACAUUUUUUUUUCUUUCAGGUAUGUUUAUAAAUUUUAACUGACAAGCAAGGGGUGACGUGACCACGCAUCCGGAGAUGGGGUCCAGGUGGUUGAUGGAUCGGCGGCUGAAUUCGACCACGAGGUAGCGGCGUCUGAGUCUGAGGGGAUCACGGCAAGAGAUCUUAGCCCACAACAAGAAGCUCUCUGCAGGAUAAUAGGAGACUGAUAUUCCCCACCAGAACAAGUAAAGAAGGAGAGAUGGAGGAGAUUUGCACAGAUAAAAACUUGAAAUAUUGGAAGUUAUCUUGUGGCGAAAAAAUGUUUGAAGACUGUAAACAAAAGCAAGUACAAAGCCCACGUGUGUUUAAAAGCUUGGAACUAUAAAGUAAUAUUUGCCAAUAAUCUGCAUAUAUACUUGAACUAUAUCUCCCAAAUCGUUCUGUGACUUGUGGAGAGAAAAGUAAAGUGGAG
This is a non-coding RNA of Pelobates cultripes (western spadefoot toad), 949 nucleotides long. The record is from the annotation of a GenBank genome assembly. NCBI's taxonomy places the organism in Eukaryota, Metazoa, Chordata, Amphibia, Anura, Pelobatidae.